GCUUCGAUAGCUCAACGGCAGAGCAUUCGGCUGUUAACCGAAAGGUUAUGGGUUCAAGUCCCAUUCGAAGCUCCA
Molecule: transfer RNA, 75 nt
Filed under: Caudoviricetes sp.
Lineage: Duplodnaviria; Heunggongvirae; Uroviricota; Caudoviricetes
Description: tRNA-Asn
Rfam family: tRNA
About the family: Transfer RNA (tRNA) molecules are approximately 80 nucleotides in length.
Source: RNAcentral